RNAcentral lists this ribosomal RNA (119 nucleotides) under Pteropus alecto (black flying fox). The record is from RNAcentral. Lineage: Eukaryota; Metazoa; Chordata; Mammalia; Chiroptera; Pteropodidae.
GUCUAUGGCCAUGCUACCCUGAACAAGCCCAAUCCUGUCUGAUCUUGGAAGCUAAGCAGGGUCGGGCCUGGUUAGUACUUGGAUGGGAGACCACCUAGGAAGACCAGGUGCUGUAGGCA